RNAcentral lists this ribosomal RNA (667 nucleotides) under Sporosarcina sp. Al-Dhabi-41. RNAcentral describes it as "bacterial SSU rRNA". It matches the Rfam family "Bacterial small subunit ribosomal RNA", at positions 61 to 711 of the family's 1533-position model. The record is from RNAcentral. Lineage: Bacteria; Bacillati; Bacillota; Bacilli; Caryophanales; Caryophanaceae.
GUCGAGCGAAUCGAUGGGAGCUUGCUCCUUGAGAUUAGCGGCGGACGGGUGAGUAACACGUGGGCAACCUGCCCUGCAGAUGGGGAUAACUCCGGGAAACCGGGGCUAAUACCGAAUAAUCAGUUCCUCCGCAUGGAGGAACUCUGAAAGACGGUUUCGGCUGUCACUGCAGGAUGGGCCCGCGGCGCAUUAGCUUGUUGGUGGGGUAACGGCCUACCAAGGCGACGAUGCGUAGCCGACCUGAGAGGGUGAUCGGCCACACUGGGACUGAGACACGGCCCAGACUCCUACGGGAGGCAGCAGUAGGGAAUCUUCCACAAUGGACGAAAGUCUGAUGGAGCAACGCCGCGUGAGCGAAGAAGGUUUUCGGAUCGUAAAGCUCUGUUGUGAGGGAAGAACAAGUACGGGAGUAACUGCCCGUACCUUGACGGUACCUCAUCAGAAAGCCACGGCUAACUACGUGCCAGCAGCCGCGGUAAUACGUAGGUGGCAAGCGUUGUCCGGAAUUAUUGGGCGUAAAGCGCGCGCAGGCGGUCCCUUAAGUCUGAUGUGAAAGCCCACGGCUCAACCGUGGAGGGUCAUUGGAAACUGGGGGACUUGAGUACAGAAGAGGAAAGCGGAAUUCCACGUGUAGCGGUGAAAUGCGUAGAGAUGUGGAGGAACACCA